UACGGAGGGUGCAAGCGUUAAUCGGAAUUACUGGGCGUAAAGCGUGCGUAGACGGUUACAUAAGUCGGAUGUGAAAGCCCCGGGCUCAACCUGGGAAUUGCAUUCGAGACUGUGUAGCUAGGAUGCGGAAGAGGGAAGCGGAAUUUCCGGUGUAGCGGUGAAAUGCGUAGAUAUCGGAAGGAACACCAGUGGCGAAAGCGGCUUCCUGGUCCAGCAUCGACGUUCAGGCACGAAAGCGUGGGGAGCAAACAGG
RNAcentral lists this ribosomal RNA (253 nucleotides) under uncultured bacterium. RNAcentral describes it as "partial 16S ribosomal RNA". It matches the Rfam family "Bacterial small subunit ribosomal RNA", at positions 524 to 776 of the family's 1533-position model. The record is from RNAcentral.